RNAcentral lists this long non-coding RNA (336 nucleotides) under Homo sapiens (human). RNAcentral describes it as "HSALNT0399475". Lineage: Eukaryota; Metazoa; Chordata; Mammalia; Primates; Hominidae. The record is from RNAcentral.
UGUGAGGACAGAGCCUUCCUGCUAUUGGGAGGAUGCAGCAACAAGGUGUCAUCUUGGAAGCAGGGAUCAGCCCUCACCAGAAAACCAAAUCUGCCACCACCUUGAACUUAGACUUCCCAGCCUUGAGAACUAACACUACAUUGGGAAGGAUUCAUCAUCAUGACCAGAUGUCACAUGGGUCUAUGAUGCCAAAAAAGGAAGAUCCCUGGAGAACAGUAGGCAGAGGGAACAGAGUGUGCAACACCAGAGCAGCGAGCACUGGGAGAGACAAAUGUCCCGAGUCUCUGGAUCCUGCCAGAGAGGAAGAGCUUGGAGGGAAGCAAUGUGGUUAAGAGA